AGAGUUUGAUCAUGGCUCAGAACGAACGCUGGCGGCAGGCUUAACACAUGCAAGUCGAACGCCCCGCAAGGGGAGUGGCAGACGGGUGAGUAACGCGUGGGAACGUGCCCUUCGGUUCGGAAUAACUCAGGGAAACUUGAGCUAAUACCGGAUACGUGCGAGAGCAGAAAGAUUUAUCGCCGAAGGAUCGGCCCGCGUCCGAUUAGCUAGUUGGUGAGGUAACGGCUCACCAAGGCGACGAUCGGUAGCUGGUCUGAGAGGAUGAUCAGCCACAUUGGGACUGAGACACGGCCCAAACUCCUACGGGAGGCAGCAGUGGGGAAUAUUGGACAAUGGGCGCAAGCCUGAUCCAGCCAUGCCGCGUGAGUGAUGAAGGCCUUAGGGUUGUAAAGCUCUUUCGCCAGGGACGAUAAUGACGGUACCUGGACAAGAAGCCCCGGCUAACUUCGUGCCAGCAGCCGCGGUAAUACGAAGGGGGCUAGCGUUGUU
Molecule: ribosomal RNA, 489 nt
Filed under: uncultured bacterium
Lineage: Bacteria
Description: bacterial SSU rRNA
Rfam family: Bacterial small subunit ribosomal RNA
Source: RNAcentral